GGCUUGAUAGCUCAGUGGUUAAAGUGCUCGUACUUUAAUCGCGAAGGUCAUGAGUUCGAUUCUCAUACAAGUCA
Molecule: transfer RNA, 74 nt
Filed under: Daphnia galeata
Lineage: Eukaryota; Metazoa; Arthropoda; Branchiopoda; Diplostraca; Daphniidae
Rfam family: tRNA
About the family: Transfer RNA (tRNA) molecules are approximately 80 nucleotides in length. Their secondary structure includes four short double-helical elements and three loops (D, anti-codon, and T loops).
Source: Rfam by way of RNAcentral